This 460-nucleotide ribosomal RNA is filed under the name uncultured bacterium. RNAcentral describes it as "partial 16S ribosomal RNA". It matches the Rfam family "Bacterial small subunit ribosomal RNA", at positions 338 to 795 of the family's 1533-position model. The record is from RNAcentral.
CCUACGGGUGGCAGCAGUGAGGAAUAUUGGUCAAUGGGCUUACGCCUGAACCAGCCAAGUCGCGUGAGGGAAGACUGCCCUAUGGGUUGUAAACCUCUUUUGUCAGGGAGCAACGCCGGCUACGUGUAGCCGGACUGAGAGUACCUGAAGAAAAAGCAUCGGCUAACUCCGUGCCAGCAGCCGCGGUAAUACGGAGGAUGCGAGCGUUAUCCGGAUUUAUUGGGUUUAAAGGGUGCGUAGGCGGAAUUGCAAGUCAGCGGUAAAAUCCCGGGGCUCAACCUCGCUCCGCCGUUGAAACUGGCGGUCUUGAGUGGGCGAGAAGUAUGCGGAAGGCGUGGUGUAGCGGUGAAAUGCAUAGAUAUCACGCAGAACUCCGAUUGCGAAGGCAGCAUACCGGCGCCCAACUGACGCUGAAGCACGAAAGCGUGGGUAUCGAACAGGAUUAGAUACCCGAGUAGUC